UGGGGAAUCUUAGACAAUGGGCGCAAGCCUGAUCUAGCCAUGCCGCGUGAGUGAUGAAGGCCUUAGGGUCGUAAAGCUCUUUCGCCAGAGAUGAUAAUGACAGUAUCUGGUAAAGAAACCCCGGCUAACUCCGUGCCAGCAGCCGCGGUAAUACGGAGGGGGUUAGCGUUGUUCGGAAUUACUGGGCGUAAAGCGUACGUAGGCGGAUUAGUAAGUUAGAGGUGAAAUCCCGGGGCUCAACCCCGGAACUGCCUUUAAUACUGCUAGUCUUGAGUUCGAGAGAGGUGAGUGGAAUUCCAAGUGUAGAGGUGAAAUUCGUAGAUAUUUGGAGGAACACCAGUGGCGAAGGCGGCUCACUGGCUCGAUACUGACGCUGAGGUACGAAAGUGUGGGGAGCAAACAGGAUUAGAUACCCUGGUAGUCCACACCGUAAACGAUGAAUGCCAGUCGUCGGGUAGCAUGCUGCUCGGUGACACACCUAACGGAUUAAGCAUUCCGCCUGGGGAGUACGGUCGCAAGAUUAAA
This 525-nucleotide ribosomal RNA is filed under the name uncultured Paracoccaceae bacterium. RNAcentral's name for it is "bacterial SSU rRNA". It matches the Rfam family "Bacterial small subunit ribosomal RNA", at positions 355 to 898 of the family's 1533-position model. The record is from RNAcentral. Lineage: Bacteria; Pseudomonadati; Pseudomonadota; Alphaproteobacteria; Rhodobacterales; Paracoccaceae.